GCGUAGGGUAUGUAGGUGGUGAAAGUCGGUGUAAAUUAAAUCCUGGGUAGCAACCCUUGUCUGUUUACGACCAUAUUUCACUAGAAUCUGAGAGAGGUUUUGGUAGGAUCAUGAAGACGUUAAAUGUGAGAUAUGUUUGGGACCGACAUUGGCGAAAGCAAACUCCUAGUCCAGUAUUGAGCUAAGGUACGAAGGCAGGUCAGUGAAACGGAUUAGAUACCCGUGUAAUCCGUGCUGUAACGCUGAGAUUUCAAUAUUAGGGUUAUGAUAUGUAUCUUUUUGGUAUUAUUAUUAUUCUUUAGAUAUCUUAAGAUAUUUAAAUUGUUUUUAAUAAAAUAAUUUAUAUGAUUAUAAGUUAAAUUAAUAAAAAUAAAAAUAAUAGCUUAAAAUUAUUUAAAAAAUCGUGGGGAAAAUAAUAGCUUAAAAUUAUUUAAAAAAUCGUGGGGAAAAUAAUUUGAAGCAACCUAUUCAAAAAUUUUAAUUACAUUGAAAUUUAUGAAUAAAAGAUGAAAAUAAUGUUAAAGAAAUUUAACAGUUUUCUUGAGUGAGAAAUUUUUUUCUCUUUCAUAUACAGUGUUCUCUGGUGUUUGAGUAACGCGUUAAAUUCUCCGCUGGGAAGUACGGCCGCAGGUUGAAACUCAAAAGAAUUGAGGUGACUUGUACGAGG
This 667-nucleotide ribosomal RNA is filed under the name Arcyria cinerea. Its description in RNAcentral is "partial small subunit ribosomal RNA". The record is from RNAcentral. Lineage: Eukaryota; Evosea; Eumycetozoa; Trichiida; Trichiidae.